RNAcentral lists this transfer RNA (67 nucleotides) under Escherichia coli. RNAcentral's name for it is "tRNA-Ile". The stretch from base 5 to 63 matches the Rfam family "tRNA", at positions 8 to 63 of the family's 71-position model. Rfam says of the family: Transfer RNA (tRNA) molecules are approximately 80 nucleotides in length. Their secondary structure includes four short double-helical elements and three loops (D, anti-codon, and T loops). Further hydrogen bonds mediate the characteristic L-shaped molecular structure. tRNAs have two regions of fundamental functional importance: the anti-codon, which is responsible for specific mRNA codon recognition, and the 3' end, to which the tRNAs corresponding amino acid is attached (by aminoacyl-tRNA synthetases). tRNAs cope with the degeneracy of the genetic code in two manners: having more than one tRNA (with a specific anti-codon) for a particular amino acid; and 'wobble' base-pairing, i.e. permitting non-standard base-pairing at the 3rd anti-codon position. The record is from RNAcentral. Lineage: Bacteria; Pseudomonadati; Pseudomonadota; Gammaproteobacteria; Enterobacterales; Enterobacteriaceae.
CUUGUAGCUCAGGUGGUUAGAGCGCACCCCUGAUAAGGGUGAGGUCGGUGGUUCAAGUCCACGGAGG